GGACUACCAGGGUAUCUAAUCCCGUUCGCUCCCCUGGCUUUCGUGUCUCAGCGUCUGCAAACCCCCAGCGAGCUGUUUUCACCAUUGGCGUUCCAGAUGAUAUCUACGCAUUUCACCGCUCCACCAUCUGUUCCGCUCGCCCCUAGGUUGCACAAGAUCGGCAGUAUACCAAGCAGUUCCAUGGUUGAGCCAUGGGAUUUCACAAGGUACUUACCGACCCGCCUACACACGCUUUAAGCCCAGUGAUUCCGCCUAACGCUCGAGACCUCUGUAUUACCGCGGCGGCUGGCAC
This 292-nucleotide ribosomal RNA is filed under the name uncultured bacterium. Its description in RNAcentral is "partial 16S ribosomal RNA". The record is from RNAcentral.